UACACUGUAAAAAAAAUCUGUAAAAUAACAGUUAAAUGACUGUAUAUUUUAACAGAUUUUUUCCGUAUACACGUAUUACGGGUGUUUUUCCGUUUAUAUACAUUUUCGAAUUGCAUUGUGGGAAGGGGAUCGCAGCUCAGACAGCGUUUGAUGGACACCGGGACAUAUUUCUUCCUCUGUUUUUUCCCUGUUGUUUGUCCGUAUUUUUCUAAACUGCCGUGCGCGGGAAGUGGCGUGACGUCCCAAUCACCCACUCACUCCCUCUGCACCUGACUGGAUUAACGGUAAACGUCAGUUUGUCUGUAAGAGUGUAAAAG
Danio rerio (zebrafish) is the source of this 317-nucleotide non-coding RNA. NCBI's taxonomy places the organism in Eukaryota, Metazoa, Chordata, Actinopteri, Cypriniformes, Danionidae. The record is from Ensembl.